AUGAUGAGAGCACGAGCACGUGCCAUUGAAACUGAAGUUAACUCUUUCCUCUUUAAGCAUUCUUUGGAUUCACAUGAGAAUUGGCUUCUACCUCAAACAAAACAUUAUGCAUUCUUAGGUACCAAGGAGAAGGCUGUGAAGAGGAGGCAAGGAGGGAGAAGGAGGUGCCACAGGGUUUGGGUAUGGGUGGAGCUACCCUAUACCCUUACCAGUCAUCCCAAACCUUACCCAUCACCCUUACCCAUAUCCGUUGACAUGUAUAAUUUUUUCUCAUACCCGUCACCCAUUAGGGUAAAUGGGUACCCGCGGGUAAAAUUAUCCAGAUUUGCAGCACAUCAAUUUGAGCAUUACACAGUCAUAAAUAACAACUUAUAA
RNAcentral lists this ribosomal RNA (375 nucleotides) under Triticum aestivum (bread wheat). RNAcentral describes it as "partial small subunit ribosomal RNA". The record is from RNAcentral. Lineage: Eukaryota; Viridiplantae; Streptophyta; Magnoliopsida; Poales; Poaceae.